UUUCUUAGCCUUAUUCUUAUUCUAGUUUAAUUAGGAAAGACCUUAUCAAUUUUACUCAUUGUAAGGCCUAUUUAAAGGGCUUAACAUGCUAAAAAUAAACAAUAAUGAUUAGUUUUUCUAAGCUCUUGCUUCAAAAAUGUGAUUAACUUUUUUUUCAUUGUUCUUCCUUUAUUCAACACUUCUUGCGAUCUUGCGGGAUUGAAGAAC
This 207-nucleotide long non-coding RNA is filed under the name Nicotiana benthamiana. RNAcentral describes it as "long non-coding RNA (NBEN_LNC000537)". Lineage: Eukaryota; Viridiplantae; Streptophyta; Magnoliopsida; Solanales; Solanaceae. The record is from RNAcentral.